GGAAGGAUCAUUAACAAAAAAUGAACUAAUAACUAACUGAACUAUGUAUAGCAUGAAUAUUACAUUCUGCUAUAAUAUAUAAACCAUAUUAUGCUAAAACCAUAAACUAAUUAAUGGUUGAUAAAACUCUAAAUUUUCAACGAUGGAUGUCUUGGCUCCCAUAUCGAUGAAGAACGCAGCAAGAAUGCGAUAUGCAAUGUGAAUUGCAGAACCAUGAAUCAUCAGAUCUUUGAACGCAACUCGCGCUAGAUCAAACUAGCAUACUUGUUUCAGUGUGCCCAAACACAUAACAUAAUCUAAAUGUGAGAGAAUAUCUCUCAUGAAAUACAUGCUCCUGCAGCAGUCACAUUUAUUUGUGAGCUACAGUGUAGAAUAUAUAACUUUAUUUGCACCUGAAAUCAAGUAAGAUAACCCGCUGGACUUAAGCAUAUUACUAAGCGGAGGAAAAGAAAUUAACUAAGAUUGCAUUAGUAAGGGCGACUGAACCUGCAAAAGCUCAAAAUUAGAAUCGAAAAUUCAAAGAAUCUUCGAAUUGUAAUCAGGACUACCUAAAUACGAAAAAUUGUUCAAUUAUGUCGAAACAUAAACCAAAGAGGGUGAAAGUCCCGUACAACUUUUUUUCGCUUAAGGUAUUUCCCAAAAGAGUCGGGUUGCUUGGAACUGCAGCCCUAAGAGGGAGAUAUGAAUCUUCCAAAGCUAAAUAAAGAUGGGAGACCGAUAGCAAACAAGUACUGUGAAGGAAAGAUGAAAAGGACUUUGAAAAGAGAGUGAAAAGAUCUGAAAUCGUUGAUAAGGAAGCUGUAAAAACUGACGAUCGUACUGAAAGAUCACAUAUUCAAAAAAUAUGGAAGUCUUCUCAUAACGAUGGGCAAAAUAAAGCUAAAUAUAUCAAAAAAGGAUCAAACCUAUUAAGAUAUAAUUAACUUAAGGGACUAUUGUGAUUUUGCCAAAAUGGUUUUUACUGUCCCGUCUUGAAACACGGACCAAGGAGUCUAACAUAUAUGCAAGUGUUCGAGUGAAAAAACUCAUACGCAAAAUGAAAGUAAAAGAUGUACAACGAAAGUAACAACAUCGACCGACCUAGUAAGAAAGGUUUGAGUAAUAGCAUAUCUGUUAGGACCCGAAAGAUGGUGAACUAUGCCUGAGUAGGGUGAAGUCAGGGGAAACCCUGAUGGAGGCUCGUAGCGUUGUUGACGUGCAAAUCACUCGUCAAACUUGGGUAUAGGGGCGAAAGACUAAUCGAACCAUCUAGUAGCUGGUUCCCUC
This 1266-nucleotide unclassified non-coding RNA is filed under the name uncultured fungus. Its description in RNAcentral is "sequence contains 18S rRNA gene, ITS1, 5.8S rRNA gene, ITS2, 28S rRNA gene". The stretch from base 389 to 1266 matches the Rfam family "Eukaryotic large subunit ribosomal RNA", at positions 1 to 961 of the family's 3401-position model. Lineage: Eukaryota; Fungi. The record is from RNAcentral.